This 73-nucleotide transfer RNA is filed under the name Ovis aries (sheep). It matches the Rfam family "tRNA". Rfam says of the family: Transfer RNA (tRNA) molecules are approximately 80 nucleotides in length. Their secondary structure includes four short double-helical elements and three loops (D, anti-codon, and T loops). Further hydrogen bonds mediate the characteristic L-shaped molecular structure. tRNAs have two regions of fundamental functional importance: the anti-codon, which is responsible for specific mRNA codon recognition, and the 3' end, to which the tRNAs corresponding amino acid is attached (by aminoacyl-tRNA synthetases). tRNAs cope with the degeneracy of the genetic code in two manners: having more than one tRNA (with a specific anti-codon) for a particular amino acid; and 'wobble' base-pairing, i.e. permitting non-standard base-pairing at the 3rd anti-codon position. The record is from Rfam by way of RNAcentral. Lineage: Eukaryota; Metazoa; Chordata; Mammalia; Artiodactyla; Bovidae.
UCCUUGGUGGUCCAGUGGUAAGGACUCUGUGCUCCUAAUGCAGGGAGCUCGGAUUCAAUCCCUGGUCAAGAAA